RNAcentral lists this ribosomal RNA (465 nucleotides) under Vreelandella stevensii. RNAcentral's name for it is "partial 16S ribosomal RNA". It matches the Rfam family "Bacterial small subunit ribosomal RNA", at positions 338 to 795 of the family's 1533-position model. Lineage: Bacteria; Pseudomonadati; Pseudomonadota; Gammaproteobacteria; Oceanospirillales; Halomonadaceae. The record is from RNAcentral.
CCUACGGGUCGCAACAGUGGGGAAUAUUGGACAAUGGGCGAAAGCCUGAUCCAGCCAUGCCGCGUGUGUGAAGAAGGCCUUCGGGUUGUAAAGCACUUUCAGUGGGGAAGAAAGCCUUGGGGCUAAUACCCUCGAGGAAGGACAUCACCCACAGAAGAAGCACCGGCUAACUCCGUGCCAGCAGCCGCGGUAAUACGGAGGGUGCGAGCGUUAAUCGGAAUUACUGGGCGUAAAGCGCGCGUAGGCGGUCUGAUAAGCCGGUUGUGAAAGCCCCGGGCUCAACCUGGGAACGGCAUCCGGAACUGUCAGGCUAGAGUGCAGGAGAGGAAGGUAGAAUUCCCGGUGUAGCGGUGAAAUGCGUAGAGAUCGGGAGGAAUACCAGUGGCGAAGGCGGCCUUCUGGACUGACACUGACGCUGAGGUGCGAAAGCGUGGGUAGCAAACAGGAAUAGAUACCCGAGUAGUC